CGCUGAAACACCGGUUCUCGUUCGAUCACCGAAGUUAAGCAUCGUAGAGCCAGGUCAGUACUUAGAUGGGGGACCGCUUGGGAACACCUGGUACU
RNAcentral lists this ribosomal RNA (95 nucleotides) under Acanthosepion pharaonis. Lineage: Eukaryota; Metazoa; Mollusca; Cephalopoda; Sepiida; Sepiidae. The record is from RNAcentral.